RNA transcript from Otolemur garnettii (small-eared galago), 1924 nucleotides. It is a transcript of the gene named NADH:ubiquinone oxidoreductase complex assembly factor 7, with no coding region annotated. The record is from RefSeq and is a predicted model, not a curated record. Lineage: Eukaryota; Metazoa; Chordata; Mammalia; Primates; Galagidae. The transcript is spliced from 10 exons.
GAAUGUUGGCAUGAGCGUCCUGGUGAGGUCCGGCGUGGGCCCGCUGUGUGUCGCGGCACGCACGGUUAUUCCCUUUAUUUGGAGAGGGAAAUACUUCAGCUCCGGGAAUGAGCCUGCGGAAAAUAACCCAGUGACACCGAUGCUGCGGCAUCUUAUGUACAAAAUAAAGUCUACUGGCCCCAUCACUGUGGCCGAGUACAUGAAGGAGGUGUUGACCAACCCAGCCAAGGGCUAUUACGUGUACCAUGACAUGCUAGGAGAAAAAGGAGAUUUUAUUACUUCACCUGAAAUAAGUCAGAUCUUUGGGGAGUUACUAGGGAUAUGGUUCAUUAGUGAAUGGAUGGCCACUGGAAAAAGUAUAGCUUUCCAGCUGGUGGAACUGGGUCCAGGUAGGGGUACCCUCAUGGGAGAUAUUUUAAGGGUGUGCAGUCAGCUUGGAUCUGUACUGAAAAACUGUGACAUUUCAAUACAUCUAGUGGAGGUGAGCCAAAAAUUAAGUGAGAUUCAAGCGUCAACACUGACUGAAGAAAAGGUCCCAUUAGAGCGAAAUGCUGACUCCCCAGUAUAUAUGAAAGGUGUCACUAAGUCUGGGAUUCCAAUUUCCUGGUAUCGAGAUCUGCAAGACGUUCCAAAAGAGUACAGCUUCUAUCUUGCGCAUGAAUUUUUUGAUGUUCUUCCUGUGCAUAAGUUUCAGAAAACACCACAAGGGUGGAGAGAAGUAUUCAUUGAUGUUGAUCCACAAAUCCCUGAUAAACUGAGGUUUGUUUUGGCACCUUGUGUCACCCCAGCAACAGCUUUCAUACAACAUGAUGAAACAAGGGAUCAUGUUGAGGUGUGUCCUGAUGCUGGUGUUAUCAUUCAGGAGCUUUCUCAACGCAUUGCACUAACUGGGGGUGCUGCACUGAUUGCUGAUUACGGUCAUGAUGGAACAAAGACAGAUACCUUCAGAGAACAGCAGACCUAACAGCUGAUGUGGACUUCAGUUAUUUGCGAAGAAUGGCGAAGGGAAAAGUAGCCUCCCUCGGCCCAAUAAAACAGCAAACGUUUUUAAAAAAUAUGGGUAUUGAUGUUCGGCUCAAGGUUCUUUUAGAUAAAUCAGAUGAGCCAUCAGUAAGGCAGCAGUUACUUCAUGGGUAUGAUAUGUUAAUGAAUCCUAAGAAGAUGGGAGACAGAUUUAACUUUUUUGCUUUGCUACCUCAUCAGAGACUUCAUGGUGGAAUGCAUCAGAAGAAUACAUGUCAGUCAAAACCCUCUGCAUCCCCUGUGGCUGGGUUUAGUGAACUUGCUUGGCAGUGAUAUUUCAGCUUGGACUUUUUAUAUCUCAGUCUGCCUAAGAAAUCAAAAUAAAGGGGAUACAUCAGGUAACAUAAGUGUUAAAAGUAUUUUAUCUCUUCCCAGCCAGUUAAGAAAUACUCCAUAUUACAUAUAAUACAACCAAAAAUUAUAAAAUUUCUAGGAUUAUAACUGACUUUUGGUAUAAAUAUGUGUUCUCAACUUAAUGAAAUGAUUACGUUAUUAUGAAACUGAGUUUCCUUUAAUUUAUAAAGGUAGUUGCUGUAUAUCUAUUUUAUCUUAAGAAGUAAACACAAGCCCUGAUUAGUUAAAUAAAAACUACAAACUACUUACAUGGCUAUUUAUGGGUACUGAUAAAAUAGAUCUGUAUGUUAUAAAAUGAGAUAAAGCAGUAUGUUCUGACCCAGAUCUCUUAAGAUUCAGUAAGUGAAAAAAGUAGGAUGUGAUCCCGUUUUUGUUGUAAGGAAAAAAAUUACAUUUAAAUAAAUAUAAGUAAUUAAAAAAUUUUAAUCAUAAAGGUUAUAGUAAAAAACAGUAAUCCUGGCACAUGCUUGAAAUAUGAGAGUAAAUAUAGACUACCUAGGAGCAAUAAUUUUUAAAAUUGAGCUGAUUCUCCUGUAUUUUCAAAUAA